Molecule: ribosomal RNA, 520 nt
Filed under: uncultured bacterium
Lineage: Bacteria
Description: bacterial SSU rRNA
Rfam family: Bacterial small subunit ribosomal RNA
Source: RNAcentral
CCAGCGAACUUGGCAGAGAUGCCUUGGUGCCUUCGGGAACGCUGAGACAGGUGCUGCAUGGCUGUCGUCAGCUCGUGUUGUGAAAUGUUGGUUAAGUCCCGCAACGAGCGCAACCCUUAUCCUUUGUUGCCAGCGAUUCGGUCGGGAACUCAAAGGAGACUGCCGGUGAUAAACCGGAGGAAGGUGGGGAUGACGUCAAGUCAUCAUGGCCCUUACGAGUAGGGCUACACACGUGCUACAAUGGCGCAUACAGAGAGAAGCGACCUCGCGAGAGCAAGCGGACCUCAUAAAGUGCGUCGUAGUCCGGAUCGGAGUCUGCAACUCGACUCCGUGAAGUCGGAAUCGCUAGUAAUCGUGGAUCAGAAUGCCACGGUGAAUACGUUCCCGGGCCUUGUACACACCGCCCGUCACACCAUGGGAGUGGGUUGCAAAAGAAGUAGGUAGCUUAACCUUCGGGAGGGCGCUUACCACUUUGUGAUUCAUGACUGGGGUGAAGUCGUAACAAGGUAAGCGUAGCGAG